This 301-nucleotide ribosomal RNA is filed under the name uncultured bacterium. Its description in RNAcentral is "partial 16S ribosomal RNA". It matches the Rfam family "Bacterial small subunit ribosomal RNA", at positions 509 to 807 of the family's 1533-position model. The record is from RNAcentral.
CAGCAGCCGCGGUAAUACGAAGGGGGCUAGCGUUGCUCGGAAUUACUGGGCGUAAAGGGAGCGUAGGCGGACAUUUAAGUCAGGGGUGAAAUCCCAGAGCUCAACUCUGGAACUGCCUUUGAUACUGGGUGUCUUGAGUGUGAUAGAGGUAUGUGGAACUCCGAGUGUAGAGGUGAAAUUCGUAGAUAUUCGGAAGAACACCAGUGGCGAAGGCGACAUACUGGAUCAUUACUGACGCUGAGGCUCGAAAGCGUGGGGAGCAAACAGGAUUAGAUACCCGUGUAGUCCCUGUCUCUUAUAC